This 22-nucleotide non-coding RNA is filed under the name Xenopus laevis (African clawed frog). Its record names the gene xla-miR-30d-3p. The record is from miRBase by way of RNAcentral. RNAcentral also lists the same sequence under 1 other name. Lineage: Eukaryota; Metazoa; Chordata; Amphibia; Anura; Pipidae.
CUUUCAGUCUGGUGUUUGCUGC